This 433-nucleotide ribosomal RNA is filed under the name uncultured bacterium. Its description in RNAcentral is "partial 16S ribosomal RNA". It matches the Rfam family "Bacterial small subunit ribosomal RNA", at positions 29 to 507 of the family's 1533-position model. The record is from RNAcentral.
AAUGAACGCUGGCGGCAUGCCUAACACAUGCAAGUCGAACGAGACCUUCGGGUCUAGUGUCGCAUGGGUGCGUAACGCGUGGGAAUCUGCCCUUCGGUUGGGAAUAACUGAGAGAAAUGUCAGCUAAUACCUUAUAAUGUCUUCGGACCAAAGAUUUAUCGCAGAGGGUGGAGCCCGCGUAGGAUUAGGUAGUGGGGGGGGUAAUGGCCUCCCAAGCCGAGGAUCCUUAGCUGGUCUGAGAGGAUGGUCAGCGACCCUGGGAGUGAGACACGGCCCGGAAUCUUACGCGAGGGAGCAAAGGGUGAUAUUGCAAAGCCGGGGAAGGGAUGAUGCACUAAUGAUGGGAAAGUGAUGAAGGCAUUGGGGUUGUAAAGCUCUUUUACCCGGGAUGAUAAUGACGGUACCGGAAGAAUAAGCUCCGGCUAACUACGUG